AACCUUCCAUUUUAGGGCGCAACAAGACAACUGUGGCUUUAGCAGCGAUGGUGUACCGUAGUAAGUUUGGUACAUCGGCCCGCAGGCACUCUUUCCUCGGCUUUUACCAAAAAAAUUUCCAUACAGUUAUUCGACCCUGGCACCAGUACCCGUGACAGUUAUUCAGGGUUUGCCGACCUCUGUGCCCAAUGCCUGGGUGUGCGAAACGAGGUCCGCGCAAAUGACAUCUGCACUUCGUGACGUCCUCAAGUUGCCGUAACAGCCGGGCCUCAACCACCAGUGCUAUGAACCAAUGACUUACCAUGUCAGCUGCUUGAUGGUUUGCAGCAACUGCUUUCACUGCUUCAGCCGUGUGUGCACAUUUGCCGUCCGAGAUCAAUGCACAAGUAAUCAGCUUGCGCCCUAACCUAACCCUCUUAACGGGAGGUUACUGCUGCUGCUGCUGCUGCUGUUACGUUAGCUGAUGAGCCCCCUUUCAUGACCCAUGCAUGAUGUUAACUCCCCCCUCUUUCGAAGUGAACCUGGCAUCCCGUGAGCUACGUCGUCGGCAGCCGGUAGGUGGCGCACUGCCGCGUUUUUCGCGUUGCACCUUCGUGGUGGUGGGGUGGUAGGGGUGGUCUUGGACUUCUUGCAAGAUAAACCGAUUUCCUCGGCGGCUAAAAGGGCAUCCUUAGCGCUGGUUUGGGAACGAAUCCUCGGGUACCUAUGGUAUCUUCCUCAGCUUCCUUCAGGGCCAACUUAAUCAAGUGUUGGCCGUAAGUGCAAGAGGUGCAUGGAAUCUGGGUCGUAAAAUGCUAUACACUGAGAGGGUUUGGUUUCCCAUCUUACACCCACUGCCAUUCUAGGGUUGUGGUCUCGGAUUUCGAGCUCGUCUUACUGCGUUCGGUCGAGAAGACACGCUCCCCAAGGCUGUGUAUCCAUACGAUCUGACCAAUUCGUUCCUUGCGCUUGAGGAAUGUGAUUGACAGAUGUGAUAACUAACUUGCCAUGGACCCGCCAACCAGCAACUCGUAUGUUUUUUUGUCGUUUUUCUGACUUUAACAAUUGUGUGCUAUCGGAGGCUAUGCGCACGCUUGGCUGUGUAAAGCCAACAGUGUUGUGCGGUUGGCGCUUGUGUAGGGCGUUGCAGAUGAGCCGUUCGGGCUUCAGUGUAAAUAGUAAUACUAUUACAAGAUUUUCUUACGUAACGAAACGUGCGUAAAAACAUUCGCGUUUGAGGCCUUGUUGGCCUAUCUAUAACUUGUUGGCCUAUCUCGGGCCGUAUUUUUGUUUUGGGCGAGACAAUACUAUGUUUACGGUGAAGAGACGAUUUCGUUGAACGGAUGAGCGCCUAGUCGGAACUGACCAGAACGGCCACAACUCAUGACUGAAAUGGGCAGCUGGUGUGCAACCACCUUCCGUUAUGAUGACAAAACGGUGUAAUUCUUACGAAGUUUAACUGUUCAUU
Molecule: long non-coding RNA, 1447 nt
Filed under: Volvox carteri
Lineage: Eukaryota; Viridiplantae; Chlorophyta; Chlorophyceae; Chlamydomonadales; Volvocaceae
Description: long non-coding RNA (VCAR_LNC001544)
Source: RNAcentral